This 253-nucleotide ribosomal RNA is filed under the name uncultured bacterium. RNAcentral describes it as "partial 16S ribosomal RNA". It matches the Rfam family "Bacterial small subunit ribosomal RNA", at positions 524 to 776 of the family's 1533-position model. The record is from RNAcentral.
UACGUAGGGUGCGAGCGUUAAUCGGAAUUACUGGGCGUAAAGCGUGCGCAGGCGGUUCGUUAAGUUCGUCGUGAAAGCCCCGGGCUCAACCUGGGAAUGGCGAUGGAAACUGGCGGGCUGGAGUGCGGCAGAGGGGGGUGGAAUUCCACGUGUAGCAGUGAAAUGCGUAGAGAUGUGGAGGAACACCGAUGGCGAAGGCAGCCCCCUGGGCCGACACUGACGCUCAGGCACGAAAGUGUGGGGAUCAAACAGG